Molecule: ribosomal RNA, 1431 nt
Filed under: Triticum aestivum (bread wheat)
Lineage: Eukaryota; Viridiplantae; Streptophyta; Magnoliopsida; Poales; Poaceae
Description: partial small subunit ribosomal RNA
Source: RNAcentral
AUGAAAGGAGGCAAGGUGAUGGGCCCUGAUUGUAUCCCCAUUGAGGUGUGGAAAGGUCUCAGGGACAUAGCGAUAGUAUGGCUAACCAAGCUUUUCAACCUCAUUUUUCGGGCAAACAAGAUGCCAGAAGAAUGGAGACGGAGUAUAUUAGUACCAAUCUUCAAGAACAAGGGGGAUGUUCAGAGUUGUACUAAUUACCGUGGAAUUAAGCUGAUGAGCCAUACAAUGAAGCUAUGGGAGAGAGUCAUUGAGCACCGCUUAAGAAGAAUGACAAGCGUGACCAAAAAUCAGUUUGGUUUCAUGCCUGGGAGGUCAACCAUGGAAGCCAUUUUCUUGGUACGACAACUUAUGGAGAGAUAUAGGGAGCAUAAGAAGGACUUGCAUAUGGUGUUCAUUGACUUGGAGAAGGCCUAUGAUAAGAUACCGCGGAAUGUCAUGUGGUGGGCCUUGGAGAAACACAAAGUCCCAGCAAAGUACAUUACCCUCAUCAAGGACAUGUACAAUAAUGUUGUGACAAGUGUUCGAACAAGUGAUGUCGACACUGAUGACUUCCCGAUUAAGAUAGGACUGCAUCAGGGGUCAGCUUUGAGCCCUUAUCUUUUUGCAUUGGUGAUGGAUGAGGUCACAAGGGGUAUACAAGGAGAUAUCCCAUGGUGUAUGCUCUUUGCGGAUGAUGUGGUGCUAGUUGACGAUAGUCAGACGGGGGUAAAUAGGAAGUUAGAGUUAUGGAGACAAACCUUGGAAUCGAAAGGGUUUAGGCUUAGUAGAACUAAAACCGAGUACAUGAUGUGCGGUUUCAGUACUACUAGCUGUGAGGAGGAGGAGGUUAGCCUUGAUGGCCAGGUGGUACCUCGGAAGGACACCUUUCGGUAUUUGGGGUCAAUGUUGCAGGAGGACGGGGGUAUUGAUGAAGAUGUGAACCAUCGAAUCAAAGCCGGAUGGAUGAAGUGGCGCCAAGCUUCUGGCAUUCUCUGUGACAAGAGAGUGCCACAAAAGUUAAAAGGCAAGUUCUACAGGACAGCGGUUCGACCCGCAAUGUUGUAUGGCGUGGAGUGUUGGCCGACUAAAAGGCGACAUGUUCAACAGUUAGGUGUGGCGGAGAUGCGUAUGUUGAGAUGGAUGUGUGGCCACACGAGGAAGGAUCGAGUCCGGAAUGAUGAUAUACGAGAUAGAGUUGGGGUAGCACCAAUUGAAGAGAAGCUUGUCCAACAUCGUUUGAGAUGGUUUGGGCAUAUUCAGCGCAGGCCUCCAGAAGCUCCAGUGCAUAGCGGACGGCUAAAGCGUGCGGAGAAUGUCAAGAGAGGGCGGGGUCAACCGAUUUUGACAUGGGAGGAGUCCGUUAAGAGAGACCUGAAGGAUUGGAGUAUCGACAAAGAGCUAGCUAUGGACAGGGGUGCGUGGAAGCUUGCUAUCCAUGUGCCAGAGCCAUGA